Molecule: unclassified non-coding RNA, 213 nt
Filed under: Hevea brasiliensis (rubber tree)
Lineage: Eukaryota; Viridiplantae; Streptophyta; Magnoliopsida; Malpighiales; Euphorbiaceae
Source: RNAcentral
AGAAGCCAGUGAUGCAGAGAAAGCAUUAAAGCUUUGGGAGAUUAGUGAAAAGCUUGUUGGGUUACCAUAAAGGUGCACAAAAAGAUGAUUACAGAACCCAUAGUUCUCACAGGAACGAUGAACAAAUAUGGUCUUGGCAGGAAAGCUCGAAGAAUGAAUUCUGCUUUUGUAAAUGCAAGAAAUUAUUUGGAAUGAGAUGAGACAAUAAACACA